AUGAAACUUGGUCUCCUUCCAGGUUGCUUAUUAUUUACAUGUCUUCCACAGCUAGGCUGUGGGGUUUCUGUGAUAGAAACCUGUAUACAGCAUUUGCUCUUCCUGAGUUUGGCAAUGAAUUUAUUACCAAAACAAACCAAGGAGACUGACUUCAGGUAUGCAUUCAGAAAUACUGCACUGUUGAUGUCACUUCAUUGACUUUGGUCUUUAAUUUGUGUGAGGUUUUUUCCCUGUUUGAAGCCUUGAUUUUGAAAGAAAGUCACUUUAUGAUAGACUCCAUGAUCUAAUGUGGUUUUGUAUAUUGG
RNAcentral lists this long non-coding RNA (305 nucleotides) under Cyanistes caeruleus (blue tit). Its description in RNAcentral is "lncRNA (ENSCCEG00000011944.1)". The record is from RNAcentral. Lineage: Eukaryota; Metazoa; Chordata; Aves; Passeriformes; Paridae.